AGUGAACGCUGGCGGUAGGCCUAACACAUGCAAGUCGAACGGCAGCACGGUAAGAGCUUGCUCUUACGGGUGGCGAGUGGCGGACGGGUGAGGAAUACAUCGGAAUCUACUUUUUCAUGGGGGAUAACGUAGGGAAACUUACGCUAAUACCGCAUACGACCUACGGGUGAAAGCAGGGGAUCUUCGGACCUUGCGCGAUUGAAUGAGCCGAUGUCGGAUUAGCUAGUUGGCGGGGUAAAGGCCCACCAAGGCGACGAUCCGUAGCUGGUCUGAGAGGAUGAUCAGCCACACUGGAACUGAGACACGGUCCAGACUCCUACGGGAGGCAGCAGUGGGGAAUAUUGGACAAUGGGCGCAAGCCUGAUCCAGCCAUACCGCGUGGGUGAAGAAGGCCUUCGGGUUGUAAAGCCCUUUUGUUGGGAAAGAAAAGCAGCAGGUUAAUACCCCGCUGUUCUGACGGUACCCAAAGAAUAAGCACCGGCUAACUUCGUG
This 492-nucleotide ribosomal RNA is filed under the name uncultured bacterium. RNAcentral's name for it is "partial 16S ribosomal RNA". It matches the Rfam family "Bacterial small subunit ribosomal RNA", at positions 29 to 507 of the family's 1533-position model. The record is from RNAcentral.